Molecule: long non-coding RNA, 2536 nt
Filed under: Homo sapiens (human)
Lineage: Eukaryota; Metazoa; Chordata; Mammalia; Primates; Hominidae
Description: non-protein coding lnc-ATRIP-6:1
Source: RNAcentral
GGAGAAUCACUUGAACCUGGGAGGCGGAGGUUGUGGUGAGCCAAGGGGAAACAAGAGUGAAACUCCAUCUCAAAAAAAAAAAAAAUAAUAAUAAUAAUAAUAAUAAUAAUAAUAAUAAAUACAUACAUAAAUAUAUAAAUGAAUAAAUGUUGGACUGAAUUUGUCAUGGACAACUCAUCUUUUCCCUAACCAAUCUCCUGGAUUGAAGGGAUUGAAGAUUCAGAAGAUACUCCUUUCCCCAAAGCCUUGGGAAAUUCAUUGCUGAGGGGUGCAUCUUUAAAAAGUUUUAGUUUUAGUUUGCUAUGGCUACCAUGACAAAGUCCCACAAAUUGAGUGUCUAAAACAACAGAAAAUGUAUUGUUUCACAGUUCCAGGGGUUAGAAGUCUGAGAUCAGGGUGUUCGCAGGCCAAUGUUCUCUCUGAAGACACUAGGUUAUAUUAGAUUAGGGGCCAUCCUACUGCAGUCUAACUUUGUCUUAACUUAUUACAUCUGCAAUGACCUUAUUUCCACAUAAGGUCACAUUCUGAAGUACUAGGGGUUAGAACUUCAACAUAUAAAUUGGUGGGGGGUGCAUAGUAAGCACCAUGGUCACUCUUCUCCAUAGGUUAGGGGUUCUAGACUCUUCUCCAUAGGUUAGGGGUUCUAGACUCUUCUCCAUAGGUUAGGGAUUCUAGUGGGAGACACUAGAGUUGAAAUGGCUCCUUGAUUGCUUUUUUUUUUUUGAGGCGGAGUCUCACUCUGUCACCCAGGCUGGAGUGCAAUGGCGCGAUCUUGGCUCACCGCAACCUCCACCUCCCGGGUUCAAGCAAUUCUCCUGCCUCAGCCUCCACCAGUAGCUAGGAUUAUAGGCAUGCACCACCAGGCCCAGAUAAUUUUUUUGUAUUUUUAGUAGAGACAGGGUUUCACCGUGUUGGCUAGGCUGGUCUCAAACUCCUGACCUCAAAUGAUCCACCCACCUCAGCCUCCCAAAGUGCUGAGAUUACAGGCGUGAGCCACCGCACCAAGCCAGCUCCUUGAUUUCAAUGCAGAUACAAGGAGUCUGGGGUGACAAGGGUCAAGCAGCAGUGUUGAGCUGCCAGAGGAGAGAGAGGAGCACAGACUGGGAAUGCAGGAUUUACAGGUUAUCUGAAUGGUCAGACCUGGAGGGAUCUUUAGCAACCUGCAGGAAUCUUUAGCAAUAGGGACCCGAUCACCAGACCCCUAGUACCAAAAUAGAUGGAGAGGCCAGUAGAGUCCCACCUAUAUAACAAGAGAGUGUGAGGUCCAACUGACAGAGACUCUACUGCAACAGAGAGGAAACCCUCACCAAUUUUCUAGAUAAAAAUCAGUUUGCAAACUCAGGGGCCCCUGAACGAGGUGGGGCAUGCACCCUUAAGGAGGGCCCUGUAAAAACAGCACAGAUUCAUCCUGGCAUUUUCCUCACAAUCUCCCCAAAGAGACCUGUGGCCACAAGCCAGGUGUGGCAGAUAUACUUGUGGUCUACCACAAAGCCAUUUUUCACUUUUCUGUUUUUUGAGACAGAGUCUCGCUCUGUCACUCAUGCUGGAGUGCAGUGGCAAAAUCAUAGCUCACUGCAGCCUCAACUUACUGGGCUCAAGCGGUCCUCCCCCCCUCAGACUCCUGAGUAGCUGGGAUUACAGGCACGCACCACCAUGCCCAGCUAAGUUUUUGAUCUUUUUGUAGAGACAAGGUCUCAUUAUGCUGCCCAGGCUAAUCUCAAAUGAUUACAGCCAUGAGCCGCUGUACCCCACCUCAUUUUUCACUUUUAAUAAAAUAGUUUUGCCAAUACAGUGGUACGUGCUUGUAAUCCCAGCUACUCAGGAGGCUGAGGCAGGAGGAUCGCUUGGUCAUGAGUUCAUAACCAGCCAGAGCUACAGAGCAAGAUCCUGUUUUUGUUUUUGCCUUUGAGAGAGGGUCUUAUUUUGUCGCCCAGGUUGCAGUGGCCUGACCCCGGCUCACUGCAACCUCCAACUUCUGGGCUCAAGUAUUCUCUUGUCUCAGCCUCCCAAGUAGCUAGGACUGUAGACACGUGCCACCACACUUAGUCAUUUGAAAAUUUUUUUUGUAGAGAUAGGGUCUCAUUAUGCUCCCCAGGCUGGUCUCAAACUCCUGGGCUCACACAACUCUCCCACCUCGGCCUCUUAAAGCACUGGGAUUACAGGUGUGAACUACUGUGUUCGGUGCAAGACCCCGUUUUUACAAAAAUAAGAUAAAAUAGUUUCGUUUAAACAAUAAUGUACCCAGUAAUGAUCAGUCUAAACCAAAUAUGGCAACACUCUUCUCUGCAAGUAAGAAGUAUUAUAUAUAUAUUUUUAGAUAUAAAUCCAAUAUUGCUGAAACCUACCUAUGUCUUUGCAACAAUAUUUGAUUCUAUCCAAAUAUUAUCUGAUCCUUUCAAGCUCAUUCUUAUUGGUGUAAGAAAAAAUGAAAAUAGCCAGGUGCAGUGGCUCACGCCUGUAAUCACAGCACUUUGGGCGGCCAAGGCGGGCAGAUCACCUGAGGUCAGGAGUUCUAGACAAGCCUGAACAACAUGAA